GUUGUGGUUGCAGGUGACAGGUGGAGACAAGGUACAUGCGACGACGUGUGAAGAACGAAGAUAGGAUGCCGCGUUGAAAAACCGCGGGGGCGGAGAAGAGUGGAUCGAGGCUUGCGUUCGAGGGACAGGCGAUCGUACGGUGUACGUCUACUGUACCUGGCUACACGGCGGGAGGACGUCGAGGGAGGUUUCCGGAUUAUGCCACAAAAUCCGGGGUUCGCUGGUUGAGCCACAAAGCCAUGCAUCGUACCGGGACGCCCGUGCGGCAGGCGUUGGCCGAAGAUGGAAAUUCCGACGAUCGCGAUACGAUUUCGGAUGGUCGUGCGGCGACAUCGCG
Molecule: long non-coding RNA, 337 nt
Filed under: Setaria viridis
Lineage: Eukaryota; Viridiplantae; Streptophyta; Magnoliopsida; Poales; Poaceae
Description: long non-coding RNA (SVIR_LNC000154)
Source: RNAcentral